GACUCUGUAGUGAAAUUCAUGGUGAGUUGCAAGCUCAUUGAUGUGCAUUGACCUGCGCCAGGGUCU
This 66-nucleotide transfer RNA is filed under the name Pterorhinus courtoisi. Its description in RNAcentral is "Garrulax courtoisi tRNA-Cys". The record is from RNAcentral. Lineage: Eukaryota; Metazoa; Chordata; Aves; Passeriformes; Leiothrichidae.